UGCCGCGUGAGUGAUGAAGGCCUUAGGGUCGUAAAGCUCUUUCGCCAGGGAUGAUAAUGACAGUACCUGGUAAAGAAACCCCGGCUAACUCCGUGCCAGCAGCCGCGGUAAUACGGAGGGGGUUAGCGUUGUUCGGAAUUACUGGGCGUAAAGCGCACGUAGGCGGAUCAGAAAGUUGGGGGUGAAAUCCCAGGGCUCAACCCUGGAACUGCCUCCAAAACUCCUGGUCUUGAGUUCGAGAGAGGUGAGUGGAAUUCCGAGUGUAGAGGUGAAAUUCGUAGAUAUUCGGAGGAACACCAGUGGCGAAGGCGGCUCACUGGCUCGAUACUGACGCUGAGGUGCGAAAGUGUGGGGAGCAAACAGGAUUAGAUACCCUGGUAGUCCACACCGUAAACGAUGAAUGCCAGUCGUCGGGUAGUAUACUAUUCGGUGACACACCUAACGGAUUAAGCAUUCCGCCUGGGGAGUACGGUCGCAAGAUUAAAACUCAAA
Molecule: ribosomal RNA, 492 nt
Filed under: uncultured bacterium
Lineage: Bacteria
Description: bacterial SSU rRNA
Rfam family: Bacterial small subunit ribosomal RNA
Source: RNAcentral